Molecule: long non-coding RNA, 979 nt
Filed under: Vigna radiata
Lineage: Eukaryota; Viridiplantae; Streptophyta; Magnoliopsida; Fabales; Fabaceae
Description: long non-coding RNA (VRAD_LNC014144)
Source: RNAcentral
UUGCAGGGACUGACUGAUAGGGAAUGUCAGCAGGUAGCAGGGGGAAUAGGCCGCGGUUGGUCAGAGAACCGCGGCAUAUUCCCCUGUAACCUCCUGACAUUCCCCAUCAGUCAGCCCCUGCAAUAAAUUGGCAAGGGAAUAUGCCGCGGUUCUCUGACCAACCGCGACAUAUUCCCCUGUCAAUUUAUUGCAGGGGUUGACUGAUGGAGAAUGUCAGCAGGUAGUAGGGGGAAUAGGCCACGGUUCUCUGACCAACCGCGGCAUAUUCCCCCUGCUACCUGCUGACAUUCCCUAAAAGGCAGGUUGAAGGCAGUUGGGGGGAUUCAGAACGUUGGGGAAUAGGUCGCGGUUGGCCAGAGAAUCGCGGCAUAUUCCCUGAUCUGAGUAAAUUUUAGAAUUUUCAGAGCAUAUGUCGCGGUUGGGGGCUGAACCACGGCAUAUAAGUUAAAAAAAAUUUCAAAAAUGCCUUUAUGGGUUAUUUUUUUUUAAAUGAAUAGGCCGCGGUUAUGUGUAGAACCGCGACAUAUUCUGCUCUUUGUCCGCGGGUUUCAUCUGAACCGCGGUAGUAGCCCUUGCAUAGGUUAAAAUUAUAUGAACAGUUUUCUUCUUCUACGCACUUUUCAGAAAAUAGAAAACGAAACCCCACCGCUGCAAGCUUUUCUCCGUCCAGACUCUGCUUCUUUGUCCAUUAUCGUCUCCAUCCGCCUCCUGAGUCGUCAUCGUCGCCGUCGAACCAGUGCUUCUCCGCUGCCGCGACAUUGACGGCAGCCCAAAUCGUCUCCGUGAUGGACUUCUCCUCCGCGACUCUACUCUUCACCGCGACCUUCUUCUCCCCCGUGCCAAAUUUAUUUGCGAAGAGAACCAAAACAGGUAUGGUUGUUAUCCUCAUUUGUACUCAAUACCUGCUUGAUGUCUGAUUGCUUGUGAUGAAAUGUUGUUUCAAUUGAUUUCAAUUUGAUUAUCCCUACCUUCACCGUGG